UUAUUGAAAUUUUGAAAUAUAAUUGGGGGACGGGAAAAACAACGAGCAGCAGUAAGAAGAGAAGAAAAAACACAUAAAUCAAUCAAGUGGAAGGGGUAACAUAAAUUACAAUUACUUUUACUGUCUUCUUCUUCUUCAGUCCGUACACAGGUUAUGUAUGCUGGCAUUUAGCGCUACCGUUGGUAAAAAUUAGUUGGAAUUGAUGGAAGGAAGCAUAAUUACAAAUACAACAGUUGAUAAUAACGAUGAUGAUGGUGAUCGGAUAUCAGAGCUUCCUGAUUUUGUUGCUCACCACAUACUCUCCUUUUUAUAUUUAUCACCGACAUCCCUAAUUCGAAUGAGUGUACAUGGUUUACUCUAACUGCCUCUUUCCCCAUUUUGCAUUUCGACUUUCGUCGACUACCAUGGGCUUGUUUUGAUCGCCAAUACGACAAGGAAAGAUUUUCCAAAUAUGUUGCGUAUACCGUGUCCAGAUUCCCACGACACCAAAAUGUCAUCAACUUUUACCUCUGUGCUGACCUCCAGGAUCCUGCACUUGCGGAUAUCAUUAACAGAUGCCUUCCAUUCAUUCUUAAACAAGGCUUGCAGAAGUUUGGUAUUGUUGAUAUUGGCGGUCCAUACCGAAACCGCUUCGAUUUGCCUGACAUACUCCUGUUCGUCUCUUCGUAAAAUUGUUUUUUGCCUUAUACCUUGAAGUAUGGUAAUGAUGACCUUAUAAGGUUUAAGUUGUUAAAGAUGUUGUAUCUUCGUGAAGUCUUUAUAAGUGAGGAAGGAUCAAGUGUUUGACCGCCUGUUGCCCUCUUCUUGAGAAAUUCACUGUUAAUGGUUGCAAUGGUUUCAAUCGACUUUGUGUUUAUGGGAUGCAAAAUCUUCGAAAAGUUGCGGUUUACUAUAACUGUUCACUUAAAGAAAUAAAUAUUCAAGCUCCAAACCUAACUGAUAUACUUUUAGCAGAUUAUUUUCAACAAUGUGCACCACCAUGUAUUAACUUGUUUUCUGCCAAAAAGUUGUCAAUGGUUUUCCGUGGAUGUUAUUCUCAACAGUUUGCCGUCUCCUUAUCCAACUUCCCGUUUCUUGAAACUUUAGUAUUGAAGAUUUCUCGUAACGACACAAAGUUGAAGUUGUCAAGUCACUCCUUGAGGACCUUAAGCCUAGAUGCACAAACUGCUUUGGAAGAAAUUGAAAUCGAUACCCCCAAUUUGCUAUAUUUUCGGUACUGUUUAGAUUGUUUUUAUGAGCAAGAUCCAAUAAGGAAUUCAGGCGAGUCAAAAGCAUGUAUGGAAUGUUACCGUGAACGUGUUUGUGACUCUAUCUGGUUCCAGCAGAUUAGGCAAUUUUUUAGACAUGAAAAUUGCAUUCAAAGUCUAGAAGUUGCAUCUUGAAACGAGUUGGAUAGAUGUCGAAGAACUUAAGUUGCUCCAGUGGCCACCUUUUGAACUUGAGCAUGUUGAGUUGAACCUGGGUUACAUUAAUAAAUUAUCAGACUAUGUACCUUUAUUGGAAGCUGUUCUUUGGUGUUGCCGUCCUCGAUCUUUAACUUUGAAUUCAUUCUACUUCGACAAUGAUCAUGAAAGGAAUGAAAUUGUUAAGUUUACAUAUGAGAAGCUGCUGCAACAAGAAGUUAAGAACAAAACUAAUAUUCAGAUUGUGUUAUCUACUGUCAAAGCCUGCGGACCGAAUGACUUGUUAAUUACCUUCUCUAAAGAGGAAGUUAGUCAUAAAGCAAGUCAAGAUUCUGCCAUUCAAAAAGAAAACAAGCUAGUCAAGAAGCAGGAUAAUUAAAUAGUCAAAAGGCUGGCAAAUAUGGAGGUGUAUUGGAUCAAGAAGUUUACUAGUUAGGACAGGAGUGAAGUACCAGGUAAGGAUCGCAUUUAUUGUGUUUUGGAGUACUCAAUUGCAGAAAUUGGUUAGAAAAAAAACCCUGUGAUGAUUUAUACAUCUGUGUUGAUGGUUUUGUAUUUGGAUUUCCAUUUUCAUCUUGUUUGAUUUGGUAUUUGUUUCAAGACUGAUUAUGCUA
This is a long non-coding RNA of Erigeron canadensis, 2017 nucleotides long. RefSeq lists it as uncharacterized. The record is from RefSeq and is a predicted model, not a curated record. Lineage: Eukaryota; Viridiplantae; Streptophyta; Magnoliopsida; Asterales; Asteraceae. The transcript has 5 exons.